CGGGAGCCCCAGAGCCGGGGGCGCCCCUCGGCCCCUCCCCGCCCCCCCCCCGCCCGCGGGCCCCGCCGCCGUCCGCCUGGCCUCUCGGGGGGCAGGGCGGCCCGGCUCCUGGAGGGCUAGAACAGCCCGUCCCGUCCCGGGGAGGCUGCCCGCUGCCCCUCUGCGGGAUUCCCGCUUCAGGAUUUCUCUGCUGAUUUUGCGGGGGGCUUCGCGCUUGACGGCCCCGGACUGUCUGCUUCCGGAGGAGAUUGCAUGCUGUGUAACUGUAGAUUUUGUGCGGCUUGUUUGUUUUCUUCUUCAUGUGGGGUACAACCCCAAGCUAGGAUUGGUGGCUUAGUGUCCUGUGGAGCCAGAAAAUUAAUUUCUAUUCCCCAAACUGUCAUUAAGGCUUCCUCUGCCACGGGGACCCUGCUUCUGCUUUGCUCCUUCUUCAUCUAAGCCAGGGGAUGUGUCUAAGACAGUGUUUCUCAACCUGGGCAACUUUCAGAUGUGUGGACUUCAACUCCCAGAAUUCCCCAGCCAGCAAAGCUGAAAGUUGCCCAGGUUGAGAAACACUCAUCUAAGAUCUUCUCUAGCUAGAAGGAAGCCAAAGGGAAACCACAUGUGGCCCAGCCUCCCCACUUUGCUUGUCGGGGUCCAGUCCCAGCAGAGGGAGGAAAGGCGGUUACAUUUUAACUUCCUUGCUUGCAAAAAUUUUUUCCUUUCUUUGCCGGUAUAGUGAAAGGAGGACACCCUGUUUCCACUUUGUGGAAACAGAUGCCAGCGUUUCAGAGAGGACGGAUUGGGGGAAGAAGCUGAUCAAAAUGCAUUUGUGCACAUUCAUGUGCUCCUUUUACACCUAGGUAGACCAUGGGCCUACACUGUGGAGGCUUCACACCUAUUGGUUACUCUUGGGUGUCAUCUGUUGGACCUCUGUUAGUCUCUAGACAAAUGCUACAUUAGGUGAUGUUUUCUAUGGGUCAGGAAGUCAUCAAAGAUAAUAGACCACUCCUAAAAUAUAUAUCUGACAAUGACAAUAUAUCAAAGUGGUAAAGAGCGUCUGCCUUUUAGGAUCAACCAUCAACAGUAAAGACAAAGAAUACGCUGCAGACUGACACUUGGUGGAGCAGCCUUGAAGGCCUCGGAAAAAAUAUUCAAAUGCUGUGAUUUGUCUCUGCCCACAAAGAUCAGAACAAUGCAGGGAAUGGUAUUACUUGUGGCACUCUAUGGAAGCAAAAGUUGGGACUUUGAAGAAGCAGGAUAGAAAGAGCAUUGAUGCUUUUGAACUUUGGUGUUGGAGAAGACUCCUGAGAAGACUGUGGACAGCCAAGAAAACAAACCAAUGGAUCAUCAAACAAAUUGAUCCAGAGUUUCCACUUGAAGCACAAAUGACCAGGCUCAGAUUACCCUACUUUGGACACAUUAUGCAAAGACCUAGCUCUUUGGAGAAGGCUCUAGUGGAAAAGGUGUGAAGAAAGGGAAGAAGAGGACAACCAGCAGCAAGGUGGAUGGUCUCAGUUACAGUGGCGAUGGGGGCACCGUUGGAAGACCUGAAGGAUUAGUUGUUCUGUGCUAUACCUGCCGCUGGAGCUAGUCAUGAAGGUUUUCUAACCUUCUCAAGUGGGCCCUGGGAGUGGAAGCCUUCAGAAGGACUGAUGUAAGACAUUGCAUGCAUGUAACUGCGCAGGCACUGGCAGGAUGGGACAUGAGGACUAGCAACGUUCAUUGCAGCUGCAGAAGCUUGUGAGAAAGAGGUCUAAGGUGACAAGUGGCUCAGAGGUCUGUGGAUAUUAACCAUCCAAGUCUGUUUAACAGUGUACUUUUUUCCUGUCCUGAAGGCAGAUAAGAGGAUCCAUGAAAUUAAAACUCACCAUGAGAUUUUAAUUAAAAUCUUUGCCUUGCCUUGCAGGCCAGGAAGCCAGCUUUAGCGAGCUUGUUACUGCUGCUGCUGCUGCAGGGAUAAGAAGAAAGUGAUUGACACCUGGUGCCCCAUUUGAAAACAUCCUUCCUAUUCUUUGAUCAUGUCUUUCCAAGAAGUUAUUGAAAUAAAAUCCUAGUGCUUUACA
This is a long non-coding RNA of Candoia aspera, 2045 nucleotides long. RefSeq lists it as uncharacterized. The transcript has 2 exons. The record is from RefSeq and is a predicted model, not a curated record. Lineage: Eukaryota; Metazoa; Chordata; Lepidosauria; Squamata; Candoiidae.